GACGAACGCUGGCGGCGUGCUUAACACAUGCGAGUCGAACGGUGAAGCGCCUUCCUUUUUGGUGGGUGUGGAUGAGUGGCGAACGGGUGAGUAACACGUGAGUAACCUGCCCCCUUCUUCUGGAUAACCGCAUGAAAGUGAGGCUAAUACGGGAUAUUCUGGGUCUGUCGCAUGAUGGGUCUGGGAAAGAUAUUGUUUCGGUGGGGGAUGGGCUCGCGGCCCAUCAGCUUGUUGGUGGGGUGAUGGCCUACCAAGGCGGUGACGGGUAGCCGGCCUGAGAGGGUGGACGGUCACACUGGGACUGAGACACGGCCCAGACUCCUACGGGAGGCAGCAGUGGGGAAUAUUGCACAAUGGGCGCAAGCCUGAUGCAGCGACGCCGCGUGAGGGAUGGAGGCCUUCGGGUUGUGAACCUCUUUCGCCAGUGAAGCAGGCCUGCCUCGUUUGUGGGUGGGUUGACGGUAGCUGGAUAAGAAGCGCCGGCUAACUACGUG
RNAcentral lists this ribosomal RNA (494 nucleotides) under uncultured bacterium. RNAcentral describes it as "partial 16S ribosomal RNA". It matches the Rfam family "Bacterial small subunit ribosomal RNA", at positions 28 to 507 of the family's 1533-position model. The record is from RNAcentral.